GGCACUUGUUAUCCUUAUUUAUUUUGUGGGCAACAAAUGCUAAUCUAAGUUUUCUCUGUUACAAAUAUUAAACACCAUUUAAUAGUCAUUGAAUUUGAAAGUCAAUUUAAAAAGGCUUUUCAACAAAAUAUUGAUUUGAAUGCACUUAUUUGGAACACUGUUAAGACUGGGCUAUAUAUACUUUUAAAAUUCUAAAUAAUUAUAUUCACAGAGGGAAGAAAGAUUUGUUUAAUCACUAAAUUUGUGAGUGGGAGGAAUGCUAUACUUUAUUAUGUCAUUUUAACAUUGAUAGAAUUGCAUAACUUAUGUAGUAUGACAAUAUAUUAUGUUCUCUCACAGAAAUUCACACUGCAGGAUUCUGCCAAAUUCAUUAUUGUACAAUGCAUUCCCAGAGCAGCAUUCCAGUGGAAGACUGAGCUUGAAAUUCGCCUUUAUAGCUUCAAGAAGCUGCCA
This 453-nucleotide long non-coding RNA is filed under the name Chinchilla lanigera (long-tailed chinchilla). RNAcentral's name for it is "lncRNA (ENSCLAG00000024298.1)". The record is from RNAcentral. Lineage: Eukaryota; Metazoa; Chordata; Mammalia; Rodentia; Chinchillidae.